GGGCCCGCACAAGCGGAGGAACAUGUGGUUUAAUUCGAUGAUACGCGAGGAACCUUACCCGGGCUCGAACGGCAAUUGACGAUAUAUGAAAGUAUAUUUCUAGCAAUAGCAAUUGUCGAGGUGCUGCAUGGUUGUCGUCAGCUCGUGCCGUGAGGUGUCGGCUUAAGUGCCAUAACGAGCGCAACCCUUAUCUUUAGUUACCAUCAGGUUAAGCUGGGGACUCUGAAGAGACUGCCACCGUAAGGUGUGAGGAAGGUGGGGAUGACGUCAAAUCAGCACGGCCCUUACGUCCGGGGCGACACACGUGUUACAAUGGGGGGGACAGCAGGUUGCUACACAGCGAUGUGAUGCUAAUCCUUAAUAAACCCUCUCCCAGUUCGGAUCGGAGUCUGCAACUCGACUCCGUGAAGCUGGAUUCGCUAGUAAUCGCGCAUCAGCCAUGGCG
This 445-nucleotide ribosomal RNA is filed under the name uncultured Bacteroidota bacterium. Its description in RNAcentral is "bacterial SSU rRNA". It matches the Rfam family "Bacterial small subunit ribosomal RNA", at positions 917 to 1359 of the family's 1533-position model. The record is from RNAcentral. Lineage: Bacteria; Pseudomonadati; Bacteroidota.